Molecule: ribosomal RNA, 506 nt
Filed under: uncultured bacterium
Lineage: Bacteria
Description: bacterial SSU rRNA
Rfam family: Bacterial small subunit ribosomal RNA
Source: RNAcentral
CUGGCUCAGGAUGAACGCUAGCGACAGGCCUAACACAUGCAAGGUCGAGGGGCAGCGCGGGAGAAGCUUGCUUUCCUGGCGGCGACCGGCGCACGGGUGCGUAACAGGUGUGCAAUCUGUCCAUAGUCGGGGGAUAGCCCAGCGAAAGCUGAAUUAAUACUCCAUGUGAAUCGAAGCCGCAUGACUUUGAUUUGAAACGCAAGGACUAUGGGUGAGCACGCUUCUGAUUAGGUAGUUGGUGGGGUAACGGCCCACCAAGCCGACGAUCAGUAGGGUUCUGAGAGGAAGGUCCCCCACAUUGGAACUGAGACACGGUCCAAACUCCUACGGGAGGCAGCAGUGAGGAAUAUUGGUCAAUGGGCGAGAGCCUGAACCAGCCAAGUCGCGUGAAGGAUGAAGGUUCUAUGGAUUGUAAACUUCUUUUGUCCGAGGGUAAAGGAGUCCACGUGUGGAUUUUUGCAAGUAUCGGGCGAAUAAGCAUCGGCUAACUCCGUGCCAGCCGCUGC